GCAUUUUUAAAGAUAUUUCUAUAUUUUAGUAGUUGUUAAUUUACUAAAUUACUCAUGCAAAAAUUCAUUUACCUAGUUUUAAACUAGGGAGAUUUGCAAAACUACUAUUUUUUUACUACCCUUUUGCAACAAUACCCUUUUAUGUUGUCCAUUUUUAAAAAUACCCUUUCCUUUGAAUAAAAUGACCAAAUUACCAUCAUCUAAUAGAAACAUGUAAUUGGAAACUGAACUUUUCCCGCCAAUUUUUUGGCGCCAAAAUUUGUUUUUCCGGCCAAAAAAAAAGUUUCCGCCAAACUUUUUUCCCACCAAAAAUAAAAAAAAAUUCCCGCCAAAAAAACAAUUUCCCGCCAAUUUUUUUUUCCGUAACAGAUUUUUCCUCAGCCAAAAAAUGAUUUUAAAAAUCCUUGUAAAUAUUUUUUGGCGGCAAAUAGAUUUACAUGGGAUUUUAAAAGGGUUUUGAAAGAUUUAAAAGAGAUUUUAAAAAGGUUUUACAAGAUUUACAAGAGAUUUUAAAAGAGUUUUUAAAGAUUUACAAGGGAUUUUAAAAGGGUUUUAAAAAAUUUACAAGUAAUUUUAAAAGGUUUUAAAAUCCCUUGUAAAUCUUUCAAAACACUUUUAAACCCUUUAAAAAGCUUUACAAAUCCUUUGUAAAUCAUUUAAAGCCCUUUAACAUCCAUUGUAAAUAUUGUAAAACCCUUUUAAAAUCCCUUAUAAAUAUUUUAAAAUCCUUUUAAAACAAAUUUUAAACCCUUUAAAAAUCUUUAAAAGAUCUUUGUAAAUCUUUAAAAUCUCUUUAAAAUCUCUUGUAAAUCUUUUAAAACCCUUUUAAAAUGCCUUGUAAACCUUUUAAAACCCUUUUAAAAUCACUUGUAAAUCACCCUUUUAAAAUCCCUUGUAAAUCUUAUAAAACUCCUUUAAAAUCCCUUGUAAAUCUUUGAAAACUCUUUUAAAAUACCUUGUAAAUCUAUUUCCCGCCAAAAAAAAAAAAUUGGUCGGAAAUUUAUUUUUGAAAACAAAAUUUGGCGGGAAAUUAUUUUUCGAAAAUUUUUGGCGGGAAUUUUUUUUUCGAAAUGUUUUGGCGGGAAAUUUUGUUUUAGAAUAUUUUAGGCGAAAAAUAUUAAUAUUUCAUUUUGUUAACCUAAAACAAUUUCCAAAUAAGGGUAAAAUGGUCAUUAAAAAUUUAAAGAUGGUAGAAAUAAAUAUGGAUAAAAUAAAAGGGUAGAGUUGAAAAGGGGCAUCAUGAAAAGGGCAUUAGAAAGAAUUUUUCUUUAAACUACCCUUACAAUGUUGUAGUUCACAAAAUGUUUACCAAUUAAUAGUAUAUAUAUAUAUAUAUAUAAAUAUAUAUAUAUAUA
Molecule: small RNA, 1355 nt
Filed under: Arabidopsis thaliana (thale cress)
Lineage: Eukaryota; Viridiplantae; Streptophyta; Magnoliopsida; Brassicales; Brassicaceae
Description: ATSL263590
Source: RNAcentral